This 30-nucleotide non-coding RNA is filed under the name Mus musculus (house mouse). The record is from RNAcentral. Lineage: Eukaryota; Metazoa; Chordata; Mammalia; Rodentia; Muridae.
UGGGAUUAAUGGUGUACACAUCUACCACCC